This 406-nucleotide transfer-messenger RNA is filed under the name Anaerolineae. Its description in RNAcentral is "JADJUV01 sp018004935 Standard tmRNA". It matches the Rfam family "transfer-messenger RNA". Rfam says of the family: Bacterial tmRNA, also known as 10Sa RNA or SsrA, is named for its dual tRNA and mRNA-like properties. Its role is to liberate the mRNA from a stalled ribosome. Lineage: Bacteria; Bacillati; Chloroflexota. The record is from RNAcentral. RNAcentral also lists the same sequence under 2 other names.
GGGGAUGACAGGCUUCGACGGGGAAGGUUGAUCCUGGAUGGCAAGCCGAGCACGCUUACACCCUCGUAAAACUGGAGCAACAAUUAAGUGCUAACAACAACGCACGAUACAACGCUCUCCCCCUCGCCGCCUAAUCUCGGCUAAAGGGAAGCAAAGGCUCUGAAACGGGCCGCGUCUUCUAUCAACGCUCAUUGGCCGGAGAUAGACAGGCGACACCAAGUCAAUGUGCGCUUCGCCCACACCGAUAGGCGUAGCUAAGCGGCUCUUUCGGGAGUCAUCGGUUCGUCACCAUGUGAUCCCGGUCAGCAGGGGCUAUGGGGAUUAAAAGCAAAUGAGCUGACUAUGCUUGUAGAAGUUCAGCGGUCGAGUUUUUCGGACGCGGGUUCGAUUCCCGCCAUCUCCACUA